AGACCUAUCAGAGUUUGAUCCUGGCUCAGAACGAACGCUGGCGGCAAGCUUAACACAUGCAAGUCGAACGGACCGUAUACGCAGCUUGCUGCGUGUAUGGUUAGUGGCAGACGGGUGAGUAAUGCAUAGGAAUCUACCUAGUAGUAUGGGAUAGCCACUAGAAAUGGUGGGUAAUACUGUAUAAUCCCUGCGGGGGAAAGAUUUAUCGCUAUUAGAUGAGCCUAUGUCAGAUUAGCUAGUUGGUGGGGUAAUGGCCUACCAAGGCGGUGAUCUGUAGCUGGUCUGAGAGGAUGAUCAGCCACACUGGAACUGAGACACGGUCCAGACUCCUACGGGAGGCAGCAGUGGGGAAUAUUGGACAAUGGGCGCAAGCCUGAUCCAGCUAU
This 386-nucleotide ribosomal RNA is filed under the name Anaplasma marginale. Its description in RNAcentral is "bacterial SSU rRNA". It matches the Rfam family "Bacterial small subunit ribosomal RNA", at positions 1 to 395 of the family's 1533-position model. The record is from RNAcentral. Lineage: Bacteria; Pseudomonadati; Pseudomonadota; Alphaproteobacteria; Rickettsiales; Anaplasmataceae.